UAGGGAAUCUUGGACAAUGGACGAAAGUCUGAUCCAGCGACGCCGCGUGGGGGACGAAGGCCCUCGGGUUGUAAACCCCUGUUGUUGGGAAAGAAGCCGGGCGCAUAGCCCGGUGACGGUACCCAACGAGGAAGCCCCGGCUAACUACGUGCCAGCAGCCGCGGUAAGACGUAGGGGGCGAGCGUUAUCCGGAUUCACUGGGCGUAAAGGGCGCGCAGGCGGCUACGUAAGUCCGGCGUGAAAUCCCACGGCUCAACUGUGGAACUGCGUCGGAUACUGCGUUGGCUUGAGGAUGGUAGAGGCCUUUAGAACUAGCGGUGUAGCGGUGAAAUGCGCAGAUAUCGCUAGGAAUGCCGGUGGCGAAGGCGGAAGGCUGGGCCAUUCCUGACGCUGAGGCGCGAAAGCUAGGGGAGCGAACCGG
This 421-nucleotide ribosomal RNA is filed under the name uncultured bacterium. RNAcentral's name for it is "bacterial SSU rRNA". It matches the Rfam family "Bacterial small subunit ribosomal RNA", at positions 355 to 776 of the family's 1533-position model. The record is from RNAcentral.